GCAACGGUGGCCAAGUGGUGAAGGCAUUUGCAUGCUGAGUGAGUCCUGCAAGGGGUGUGAGUUUGAAUCUCACCCCUUGCG
Molecule: transfer RNA, 81 nt
Organism: Coccomyxa subellipsoidea C-169
Lineage: Eukaryota; Viridiplantae; Chlorophyta; Trebouxiophyceae; Coccomyxaceae
Rfam family: tRNA
About the family: Transfer RNA (tRNA) molecules are approximately 80 nucleotides in length.
Source: Rfam